GAUGAACGCUAGCGGCAGGCUUAAUACAUGCAAGUCGAGGGGCAGCAGGGGUAGCAAUACCCGCUGGCGACCGGCAAACGGGUGCGGAACACGUACGCAAUCUACCCAAAACUGAUGAAUAGCCCUCCGAAAGGAGGAUUAAUACGUCGUAACAUUAUAGAGUGGCAUCACUUUAUGAUUAUAGCUCCGGCGGUUUUGGAUGAGCGUGCGGCUGAUUAGGUAGUUGGCAGGGUAAUGGCCUACCAAGCCCACGAUCAGUAACUGGUGUGAGAGCACGACCAGUCACACGGGCACUGAGACACGGGCCCGACUCCUACGGGAGGCAGCAGUAAGGAAUAUUGGUCAAUGGACGCAAGUCUGAACCAGCCAUGCCGCGUGAAGGAUGAAGGUCCUCUGGAUUGUAAACUUCUUUUAUAGGGGAAGAAACCCGGAAAUUCUUUUUCGGUUGACGGUACCCUGGGAAUAAGCACCGGCUAACUCCGUGCCAGCAGCCGCGGUAAUACGGAGGGUGCAAGCGUUAUCCGGAUUCACUGGGUUUAAAGGGUGCGUAGGUGGGUCUGUAAGUCAGUGGUGAAAUCUCCAAGCUUAACUUGGAAACUGCCGUUGAUACUAUAGAUCUUGAAUGCUGUGGAGGUGAGCGGAAUAUGUCAUGUAGCGGUGAAAUGCUUAGAUAUGACAUAGAACACCAAUUGCGAAGGCAGCUCACUACCCAGAUAUUGACACUGAGGCACGAAAGCGUGGGGAUCAAACAGGAUUAGAUACCCUGGUAGUCCACGCCCUAAACUAUGGAUACUCGACAUACGCGAUACACUGUGUGUGUCUGAGCGAAAG
This 831-nucleotide ribosomal RNA is filed under the name uncultured Flavobacterium sp. Its description in RNAcentral is "bacterial SSU rRNA". It matches the Rfam family "Bacterial small subunit ribosomal RNA", at positions 28 to 857 of the family's 1533-position model. Lineage: Bacteria; Pseudomonadati; Bacteroidota; Flavobacteriia; Flavobacteriales; Flavobacteriaceae. The record is from RNAcentral.